CAAAACACUAUGUUGAUGGUAAGAAAGGUACACCACUACGUGGAACUCACCUUUAUGCUGCUCCUGAGCUUGAUGAUACUGCAUCGGAUCAUACUGAUAAGGCUGAUAUAUAUAGCCUAGGGGUAAUACUUGUGGAGAUGUUCCACUCCUUUUCUACUGGGCAAGAGAAAGGCCAUGUUUUGAGAGGACUGAGUAACGGAAAUUACCCAACUAAAUGGGAAGGGGACACGGUGCUUCUUAAGAGGCUCACCGCAUCAUCUCCUUCUGAUCGUCCAUCAGCAACAGAAAUCUUGGAUUACAUGGCCAAGCGCCAGUAAAUUGGAGCUGCAGGAACCCAAAUGUCAUCUUGAACUA
Lolium rigidum is the source of this 354-nucleotide long non-coding RNA. RefSeq lists it as uncharacterized. The record is from RefSeq and is a predicted model, not a curated record. The transcript has 3 exons. Lineage: Eukaryota; Viridiplantae; Streptophyta; Magnoliopsida; Poales; Poaceae.